RNAcentral lists this ribosomal RNA (490 nucleotides) under uncultured bacterium. RNAcentral describes it as "partial 16S ribosomal RNA". It matches the Rfam family "Bacterial small subunit ribosomal RNA", at positions 28 to 506 of the family's 1533-position model. The record is from RNAcentral.
GAUGAACGCUGGCUACAGGCUUAACACAUGCAAGUCGAGGGGAAACGACGGGGAAGCUUGCUUCCCCGGGCGUCGACCGGCGCACGGGUGAGUAACGCGUAUCCAACCUGCCUCUGACUGAGGGAUAACCCGUCGAAAGUCGGCCUAAUACCUCAUGGCAUCGUCUGCGGGCAUCCAACGACGAUUAAAGAUUUCAUCGGUCAGGGGUGGGGAUGCGUCUGAUUAGCUUGUUGGCGGGGUAACGGCCCACCAAGGCUACGAUCAGUAGGGGUUCUGAGAGGAAGGUCCCCCACAUUGGAACUGAGACACGGUCCAAACUCCUACGGGAGGCAGCAGUGAGGAAUAUUGGUCAAUGGGCGGGAGCCUGAACCAGCCAAGUAGCGUGCAGGAUGACGGCCCUAUGGGUUGUAAACUGCUUUUAUGCGGGGAUAAAGUGAGGGACGUGUCCUUCAUUGCAGGUACCGCAGGAAUAAGGACCGGCUAAUUCCGU